CCCUCCUCGUUUCGCCGGAGUUCGCCUCGGCCGCCGCGGUUCCUCCUUGGUUCCGGCGAGCUCGAGCCUCCUCUCCUCCUCCCGAGCUGUCCACCAGAGCCUCCUCAUCCCCGCGGUUCGCCCCACCCACUUGCCCCCUCGCCGGAGCGGCCGUAUCGCCAAAGAACACCACCGCCCGCCGUCCUCUGCCUCCCCUCGGUCCUCCUCCGCCCCACGUCCUCCUCUCCUCCCCGGUGCCGGCUGACCCCCUGUACGGACGCGCCACGCCGGGCCGCGCCCGCCGGUUCCCGCGCCCUGGCCGGAGCUGGCCUGGGCCGGCCGCCCCAGCGCCGCCCCCUCCCCUGCUCUCCUCUCUGUUCACGAGCGAACAGGAGCGAGGAGAGGAGGAAGACGACGAUUCGCCCGACGCCAGCUGGCCCCUCCCGUUGACUAGUGCGUGGACCCCACGGCCCCACAAGUCAGCGAGACAGGAGCCGGUCCCGCCUCUGCUGACUAGGAUAAGUGGAAGCGUAUUCCGGUGGAAUACAUCUUCCCUAUCCGAAAGCGUACUCGGUCUCUGUUGCGGUACCAUUUACGUUUUCUCAGUCGGGAAGCGUAUUCUGUCGAAAGGCGCUCUCUGUUUUUCUGUCCAGGCCCUGUUUGAAAAUAUUUUCAUUACAGAAAGGUCCCUGGCUGAAAACACUUCAUAUCUUUUUAACCACAACUCCAAAUGAGCCCCUUCGAGAGAGAACCGUUUCCGGCAAAUCUUUCCGCGGCUUCACCGCACUUCUCCCCGGUGCCUUCUUCAUCCCCAGGCAAGCCACAAUACCCACUUGCAUGAUAGUCAUGCAGUAGCCAUGGUUUUCAACUUGAAUCUUUAUUAAAUGUUUGCUUGUUGAAAAGAUGGUUACCGUUGUUCCGGUGAUGUUUAAAUUUGCAUGUUCACUUUUGUGCUAUGUUGUCUUGUACUCUGUUAUCAUGUUCUACCUGCUA
Aegilops tauschii subsp. strangulata is the source of this 972-nucleotide long non-coding RNA. RefSeq lists it as uncharacterized. The record is from RefSeq and is a predicted model, not a curated record. NCBI's taxonomy places the organism in Eukaryota, Viridiplantae, Streptophyta, Magnoliopsida, Poales, Poaceae.